Molecule: ribosomal RNA, 500 nt
Filed under: uncultured bacterium
Lineage: Bacteria
Description: partial 16S ribosomal RNA
Rfam family: Bacterial small subunit ribosomal RNA
Source: RNAcentral
AUUGAACGCUGGCGGCAUGCUUUACACAUGCAAGUCGAACGGUAACAGGGUGCUUGCACCGCUGACGAGUGGCGAACGGGUGAGUAAUGCGUCGGAACGUGCCGAGUAGUGGGGGAUAACGCAGCGAAAGUUGUGCUAAUACCGCAUACGUACUGAGGUAGAAAGCGGGGGACCUUCGGGCCUCACGCUAUUCGAGCGGCCGACGUCUGAUUAGCUAGUAGGUGAGGUAAAGGCUCACCUAGGCGACGAUCAGUAGCGGGUCUGAGAGGAUGGUCGGCCUCACUGGGACUGAGACACGGCCCAGAAUCCUACGGGAGGAAGCAGUGGGGAAUUUUGGACAAUGGGCGAAAGCCUGAUCCAGCCAUGCCGCGUGUCUGAAGAAGGCCUUCGGGUUGUAAAGGACUUUUGUCAGGGAGGAAAUCCCUAGUGCUAAUAACACUGGGGGAUGACAGUACCUGAAGAAUAAGCACCGGCUAACUACGUGCCAGCAGCAGCCGCAG